UACGGAGGGUGCGAGCGUUGUCCGGAAUCACUGGGCGUAAAGGGCGCGUAGGCGGCGCGGGCAGUCAACGGUGAAAGCUCGGGGCUCAACUCCGAGUCGGCCGUCGAUACUCCCGCGCUCGAGCACUGUAGAGGCAGGUGGAAUUCCGGGUGUAGCGGUGGAAUGCGUAGAGAUCCGGAAGAACACCGGUGGCGAAGGCGGCCUGCUGGGCAGUACGCGCGCGAGG
RNAcentral lists this ribosomal RNA (226 nucleotides) under uncultured bacterium. RNAcentral's name for it is "partial 16S ribosomal RNA". It matches the Rfam family "Bacterial small subunit ribosomal RNA", at positions 524 to 751 of the family's 1533-position model. The record is from RNAcentral.